UACAUGGGGUGCAAACGUUGCUCGGAAUUAUUGGGCGUAAAGCGCACGUAGGCGGUUCGUUAAGUCGGAUGUGAAAGCCCUCGGCUCAACUGAGGAAGUGCACCCGAAACUGGCGAGCUUGAGUACGAAAGAGGAUCGCGGAAUUCCCGGUGUAGAGGUGGAAUUCGUAGAUAUCGGGAGGAACACCGGUGGCGAAGGCGGCGAUCUGGGUCGAUACUGACGCUGAGGUGCGAAAGCGUGGGGAGCAAACAGGG
RNAcentral lists this ribosomal RNA (254 nucleotides) under uncultured bacterium. RNAcentral describes it as "partial 16S ribosomal RNA". It matches the Rfam family "Bacterial small subunit ribosomal RNA", at positions 524 to 777 of the family's 1533-position model. The record is from RNAcentral.